UAUCCCAAGAGGAGCAACUCUUCUAAGCUCUGGACCUUGCUCCAAUCAAUAUGCCUUGAUCAAACUAGGCUGAGGGAAAGGCAAGAGAAUCUAAAAUUUUAAGAUUGCUCAAGCAGGGUUUGGGACGGAGGUGUGGUGAUGUGAGAUGGGGGAGGAAGCUGAUGGAACUCUAUGCGGUAUCCAUUCCUGAUGACGGAGAAAACCCACAAGUCUGUGGUGAUGUCUUCCCACAUAGAAGGAACAAUACAGGCUCUCAAUGUGGUGGUUGAAAGAAACUGAAGGGAGAGUCUUGGCACCAAGUUCCAGAUGAAGAGAGCCGUCUCAAUGGUGCUCUUUUGGGGACCAACUUCUAAUCAAGUGGAUCAUUUGAAAAACUUUGUUCUCUGUGUUUCUGCUUUUUUGGGAGCAAUACCAGCUUCUUAUUUCCCACUGGGUACACUGUUAACUCUUACAGGCAGUUCUAUAUCCUUGACUGACACCCUGCAUGAGUUCUUCCAUUGAGAAAGACAAGUUUGUGCUUAAAAAUACUCAAUUAAACACUUGUGGAUUUAU
This is a non-coding RNA of Pogona vitticeps (central bearded dragon), 552 nucleotides long. The record is from RefSeq and is a predicted model, not a curated record. Lineage: Eukaryota; Metazoa; Chordata; Lepidosauria; Squamata; Agamidae.